RNAcentral lists this transfer RNA (82 nucleotides) under Neoluteolibacter luteus. RNAcentral's name for it is "Luteolibacter luteus tRNA". It matches the Rfam family "tRNA". From Rfam's summary of the family: Transfer RNA (tRNA) molecules are approximately 80 nucleotides in length. Lineage: Bacteria; Pseudomonadati; Verrucomicrobiota; Verrucomicrobiia; Verrucomicrobiales; Verrucomicrobiaceae. The record is from Rfam by way of RNAcentral.
GCCGGGAUGGCGGAAUUGGUAGACGCACCUGAUUUAGGUUCAGGCACCGCAAGGCGUGCAGGUUCGAGUCCUGUUCCCGGCA